This 439-nucleotide ribosomal RNA is filed under the name uncultured bacterium. RNAcentral describes it as "partial 16S ribosomal RNA". It matches the Rfam family "Bacterial small subunit ribosomal RNA", at positions 339 to 795 of the family's 1533-position model. The record is from RNAcentral.
CUACGGGAUGCACCAGUGGGGAAUAUUGCACAAUGGACGAAAGUCUGAUGCAGCAACGCCGCGUGGAGGAUGACACUUUUCGGAGCGUAAACUCCUUUUAUAUAGGAAGAUAAUGACGGUACUAUAUGAAUAAGCACCGGCUAACUCCGUGCCAGCAGCCGCGGUAAUACGGAGGGUGCAAGCGUUACUCGGAAUCACUGGGCGUAAAGAGCGUGUAGGCGGAUAGAUAAGUCAGGAGUGAAAUCCUAUGGCUCAACCAUAGAACUGCUCUUGAAACUGUCUAUCUAGAAUAUGGGAGAGGUAGAUGGAAUUUCUGGUGUAGGGGUAAAAUCCGUAGAGAUCAGAAGGAAUACCGAUUGCGAAGGCGAUCUACUGGAACAUUAUUGACGCUGAGACGCGAAAGCGUGGGGAGCAAACAGGAUUAGAUACCCCUGUAGUC